RNAcentral lists this unclassified non-coding RNA (1933 nucleotides) under Anneissia japonica. RNAcentral describes it as "glutaredoxin-like protein C5orf63 homolog, transcript variant X1". The record is from RNAcentral. Lineage: Eukaryota; Metazoa; Echinodermata; Crinoidea; Comatulida; Comatulidae.
AGCACGUGUGUUAAUUGAAACAAACAAACACUGUAACUGUUCGGUAUGUAGCGGACCUGGAAAAAGGGAGAUAAUGCUGCUUCCUGACAGUUGAGUUGCCUCCACGGAUGAAUGGAGUAGGCCUAGAACCAUGUGGAGGAUUUCAACGUUCACAUCCACAUUUAUAAAACAAGCAAUAUUCAAAGAGAUGAUAGGGCCAGGUGCCUUACUUAACAUCAACUUCAGUCAUAAAUCUAGUUCUCUUCCUCUUCUCACGCUCUAUACAAAGGAUGACUGCAGUCUCUGUGAAACAGCUAUGGCGGUAGUUAACAAGUAUAAGCACAGGUUCAAAUUUGAAGAAGUUGACAUCGAAGCCAAGGGAAACAAAAUCUGGUUUGAGAAAUACCGCUAUGAUAUUCCAGUUUUUCACCUCAAUGGUCAAUUUUUGAUGAAGCACAGAGCAGAUGAAAAACUUUUUGUGAAGUCAUUAGAACUAUAUGAACAAGGAAAACCCACCUGAAUGCCAAUAUAUUGGUGAAACAUUAUUUCGAAGAAUAUUAUUUCUGAAUGAGAUAAAUAUUAGAGACCUUGUAUGCAAAUACCACAUGGUCUGAAAGCAUGCAAUUGACAGGUGAUUUCUUGAGCCUGACCGUGUAAACUCUGGGGUGAGCUGAUGUCUUUGAGGUAGUGAGUCAUUAAUCUUUCCGAAUAUUUUUCAAUUAAAGAUUUCUACAGUAAAAACUGACCUGUGUGUUUUAUUGUUGUUUAUAAUUUUUUGAUAAUAGUUUUACAGAUUUUUAGUAGUUUUAUUGUUGUUUAUAAUUUGAUAAUAGUUUUACAGAUUUUAGUAGGCAUUAUGAAACAGAUCUGUCAUACACACUAUUAACACCCUAUUACAUUUUCAAUAAUGCACUAUACCCAGUACUAUUGUAUCAUCAACCAUAUGCUUCUUGCAAAGGGAGCAGUUUUUCCAGCAUUGUUCUAGCAUUGUUCUUUGUUCGUACCACCUAAGAUGAGGUCUGCAAUUGUGCCUGGGUAGAAGCAGGUGGUUGACUCUGAGAUCCUGCACGGUUUGCCACCGUUAUUUUUGAUUAUUUUUCUCAUUUCUCAAUUUAAUUAUACCUGUAUAUAAAAUGUAUAUAAAAUGUAUAAAUAAAAAUGUAGUAGUGAGAGUGGUAGUAAUAUAAUAGGAAGUGUUAAGCGCAGGAGCAUAGAUAUGCGCUACUGUAUAUUAUAUACCAUUAAUAAUAUAUUAUUUUGCAACACACAAAAAUUCAAGGUUCGACUAUAAUUUAUCAGCCUGAUUCAUGAGGUUUAAUCACAUCAUAGCACAAAUAUAUGUUUGCAUAGCAUGUCUGUAAUAAAUAUUUACUACUACAACACUUCAUAGAGAAUUAGAUCAAGAGAAUUGUUGCAUUGAUUUCUUAAACCUAAAAAAUAAUUGCGUUAACAUUAACUAUACAAUACUUUUAUCAGGUGGCAAUGUAAUUUAUUCUCAGGUGAAUUUUCAAACCUACUGGCCACAAGUAUGGGCAACAAAUGUUAAAAGUGCAACAGAUAUGUAAUAAUAAUAAGUACAGUGUUAUUGACCUUUCCACCUCAAUAUCUAAGUACAGUUAAGCUUGCCUAAGUCGACCUUAUUUUACAUGCCAAAUUGUUGUUUAUCUAAGUCAAACAAUUUUUCAAUGCUAUUUUGGAUUCGACUUAGGCAAGUUCAACUGUACAGUAUUACAUUUUAAAUUGACCAGUACAAUCACACACAGCUAUUAUACUAUGCAAGAUGGGACGAUUUGAAAUGUUACGGAACGAUGCUUUGAUUUCAAUCCCAUCUAUAGAGACUGAGAUAUCUGUAUAAGCAUACAGUAUUGUGAACACCCCCACAUGAAUGAGUGGAUCAGUCAGCCUUUACACAACUGUGCUACCAACCAUGCAUAAUUUGAAAAUAAACAAUUAA